CGAGCUGGCCAAGGAUCAUGGUGGACGUGAUUCGCGCGGCAUCCUUUGCAGAGAGAGCGCGAUUCAGCGGCGACAACGGAGGUAUGGACUACGAGCUUGUGUACUGGGCGAUGCGGGAGGCGGAAUCUCCAGAUCCAACGGUGGCGGCGAAGUGGAGCGGCUUCAAAUCGGUGGUUCCAUUCCUGCACAACAUCAACCCUCCCCCGAUGAUGGAACUGUCCCGGAU
RNAcentral lists this long non-coding RNA (226 nucleotides) under Hordeum vulgare. Its description in RNAcentral is "long non-coding RNA (HVUL_LNC001403)". The record is from RNAcentral. Lineage: Eukaryota; Viridiplantae; Streptophyta; Magnoliopsida; Poales; Poaceae.